AGACCGGUCUUCCCGUGCCUGCAGGUUGGCUGCAAAUGUUUCUGUACACGGACAACUGGUCCGGGACAAGAUCCCGGGGAAAUAAAUUCAUCUCGAGAGGGGCCGGGCGAGCCGGCGCGGGGAAACGCGAGCUUUUGUUUUUUAUGACAGCCGGGCUGCGCAGCUCUAAUCAGUGCGGGGAUUUAUCUCCCGGCCUGUCAGCAUGUGUGCUUAAACUUUGCGGACUUCCUAGCCCUCUAAGUCCCAUCACGAGGGCAGCCACCGGACAAGAGCCCCCAAACAACCAGUUUGCCUGAAAGGUAUGAUUCAAGCCAUACAAGUAUUAAGGUUUCAUCUAUUGGAAUUAGAGAAGGUACACGAAUUAUGUGACAAUUUCUGCCACCGGUAUAUUAGCUGUUUGAAAGGGAAAAUGCCUAUCGAUUUGGUGAUAGACGAUAGAGAAGGAGGAUCAAAAUCAGACAGUGAAGAUAUAACAAGAUCAGCAAAUCUAACCGACCAGAACAAGGAGCACUGAUACUAAGUUACG
This 526-nucleotide small RNA is filed under the name Pan troglodytes (chimpanzee). RNAcentral describes it as "processed transcript". The record is from RNAcentral. Lineage: Eukaryota; Metazoa; Chordata; Mammalia; Primates; Hominidae.